AAGUCGUAACAAGGUUUCCGUAGGUGAACCUGCGGAAGGAUCAUUGCCACACACGAUCCAAGAUCGACACUUUAUUGUGAACUGUUAAAUGUUUGUGUUGAAAUAAGAGGGGGACUUUUGUUCUUCUUUUGUUGAUACACCUUUAAAACAACCCACCUUAUAAAAAAAUGAAUUAUUCAUAUGGAACAUAAAUGUAAUCUAAAGUCUGUCUUUAGUAUUACGCUAGAUUGAAAAAUAGUUAAACAACUUUUAACAACGGAUAUCUAGGUUCUU
This 273-nucleotide unclassified non-coding RNA is filed under the name fungal sp. RNAcentral's name for it is "partial internal transcribed spacer region". The stretch from base 1 to 46 matches the Rfam family "Eukaryotic small subunit ribosomal RNA", at positions 1786 to 1831 of the family's 1831-position model. The record is from RNAcentral. Lineage: Eukaryota; Fungi.